RNAcentral lists this unclassified non-coding RNA (919 nucleotides) under Yarrowia lipolytica. Lineage: Eukaryota; Fungi; Ascomycota; Dipodascomycetes; Dipodascales. The record is from RNAcentral.
CGUAUGUGCCGUUUGGAGUUUCGCAUUUUGACAUGGUCUGGUGACUUCAUUUCUCAUCCUACAGUCGAGAGACCACGUCCAUUGUGAUGGUCAAGAGUGGACGAGUCUAAUGGUACUCAUUGCGAGCGGAUUUGGGCGGUAUUUCGCCAGAUCGAGGGAUUCGCAAAAGUCCAAUUUCCGGAUUUAAACACGUUCGGCUACAACCUCAGGCGCAUUCCUACAGCAACACGCGUACCGUGAAGUGUCUGAGCCUUGCCUAGGGGCGCUUUUGCUCCAAGAUUUAAUCACCAGAGCCCCGGUCGGAGGGGGCAUGUGUGGGUCUCGAGAUACGAUGAACAUACGGUAAAACGACCGCCCGCUGGUGGUUCGUCUUGCAGAGAGCUCUUUAACUGCGUGUGUCCGAUUCAACGAGACUAGAUGAUCAUGUCUCGUACCCCCCGUAUAUCACGUGACCCAUACUCAUGCCACCCACGUAUAACCACUUCGACAAACUCGACUGCGCCUCGUCUCAAAAAUCGUCUAGCUCUGACUCUAGCUCGGGAUGCCAAUUGUGGGGUCAUGAAAAGAGAAGAAAAUUCAAACGUCUAUUUAGACGGUAGGUUUUGCGCAGCAGAGCUGGGUUGGGGUGUCACGUGAUUGGUCAUGUGAUUGGAUGACACGAGACCAAUGCGUCUCUGUCGGUCAAGAGCUCCAGGGAUGAUUUGAUUGAAGGUAGGGUAGUACAUACUGUACAUGGCUAAUUGCUCGCAUAAUGAUGAAAUGAGAAGUCAUCACGUGAUGAGUGGAACCAGCUUGGUCGUAGACGAGAUGUCCAUCCUGUAGAUGGGUUUAUCCACUGAUCUAGAAUCUCUUUCUGGUGUAUGUUACUAUCGGAAUGUGCUGUCCCUAGAAGUGAGUUGUAAGUUGUUACAUUAACUAU